This 310-nucleotide long non-coding RNA is filed under the name Sinocyclocheilus rhinocerous. RNAcentral's name for it is "lncRNA (ENSSRHG00000024093.1)". Lineage: Eukaryota; Metazoa; Chordata; Actinopteri; Cypriniformes; Cyprinidae. The record is from RNAcentral.
GUCACGCACGAAUAGAUUUGUCGGAAAGACACAGGUAGGUCACCGAGUAAUCCAGCACUAGUAGGCCACACAGACAAACAUCCCCCUCUGCAGAAAGCUCACCCGCACUGGUUGAGUCCACCUCGUCCGCUGGCUGCAUGACAGGACAGAGAGCGGUCGCUGCUUUGAGGCGAGGGGCGCGCAGGCGGAUCUGGAGAAGGUUUGCUCUGCGCAGAGGAAAGAUAAACAGAAGACUGGACGUAAAUAAUCCACAACCAGCAUGCUGCACAAAAUCAGGGAAUAACACUGGUCUUGCUUUGCACGAGAAGGG